GGAGAGAUGGCCGAGUGGUUGAAGGCAACAGUCUUGAAAACUGUCAGGGUUCAUAGCCCUCGAGGGUUCGAAUCCCUCUCUC
Molecule: transfer RNA, 82 nt
Filed under: Candidatus Uhrbacteria bacterium CG10_big_fil_rev_8_21_14_0_10_48_16
Lineage: Bacteria; Candidatus Uhriibacteriota
Description: tRNA-Ser
Rfam family: tRNA
About the family: Transfer RNA (tRNA) molecules are approximately 80 nucleotides in length. Their secondary structure includes four short double-helical elements and three loops (D, anti-codon, and T loops). Further hydrogen bonds mediate the characteristic L-shaped molecular structure. tRNAs have two regions of fundamental functional importance: the anti-codon, which is responsible for specific mRNA codon recognition, and the 3' end, to which the tRNAs corresponding amino acid is attached (by aminoacyl-tRNA synthetases). tRNAs cope with the degeneracy of the genetic code in two manners: having more than one tRNA (with a specific anti-codon) for a particular amino acid; and 'wobble' base-pairing, i.e. permitting non-standard base-pairing at the 3rd anti-codon position.
Source: RNAcentral